Haloplasma contractile SSD-17B is the source of this 78-nucleotide non-coding RNA. The record is from Rfam. NCBI's taxonomy places the organism in Bacteria, Bacillati, Mycoplasmatota, Mollicutes, Haloplasmatales, Haloplasmataceae.
AAACUCUUAUAGUAAUAUAAGACUGAAUAAUGAGAAGUCAGCAGAUGCCAUAGUACUAUACAAUAGUAUAGGAAGGGC